CAUGUAGGCGGCUCUGUAAGUCCGGCGUGGAAGCCCACGGCUCAACCGUGGGAUUGCGCUGGAAACUGUGGGGCUUGAAUCAUGGAGAGGGAGCUAGAAUUCCUGGUGUAGGGGUGAAAUCUGUAGAGAUCAGGAAGAAUACCAGUGGCGAAGGCGAGCUCCUGGCCAAUGAUUGACGCUGAGGUGCGAAAGUGUGGGGAUCAAACAGGAUUAGAUACCCUGGUAGUCCACACUGUAAACGAUGUGCACUAGGUGCGUGGGGCGGAUGCUUCAGUGCCGGAGCUAACGCGGUAAGUGCACCGCCUGGGGAGUAUGCUCACAAGGGUGAA
Molecule: ribosomal RNA, 329 nt
Filed under: uncultured bacterium
Lineage: Bacteria
Description: bacterial SSU rRNA
Rfam family: Bacterial small subunit ribosomal RNA
Source: RNAcentral